UACGUAGGUGGCAAGCGUUGUCCGGAAUUAUUGGGCGUAAAGCGCGCGCAGGCGGUCCUUUAAGUCUGAUGUGAAAGCCCACGGCUCAACCGUGGAGGGUCCUUGGAAACUGGAGGACUUGAGUACAGAAGAGGAAAGCGGAAUUCCACGUGUAGCGGUGAAAUGCGUAGAGAUGUGGAGGAACACCAGUGGCGAAGGCGGCUUUCUGGUCUGUAACUGACGCUGAGGCGCGAAAGCUAGGGGAGCAAACGGG
RNAcentral lists this ribosomal RNA (253 nucleotides) under uncultured bacterium. RNAcentral's name for it is "partial 16S ribosomal RNA". It matches the Rfam family "Bacterial small subunit ribosomal RNA", at positions 524 to 776 of the family's 1533-position model. The record is from RNAcentral.